RNAcentral lists this ribosomal RNA (443 nucleotides) under uncultured bacterium. RNAcentral describes it as "partial 16S ribosomal RNA". It matches the Rfam family "Bacterial small subunit ribosomal RNA", at positions 338 to 795 of the family's 1533-position model. The record is from RNAcentral.
CCUACGGGAGGCAGCAGUGGGGAAUAUUGGGCAAUGGAGGCAACUCUUACCCAGCAAUGCCGCGUGAAUGAAGAAGGUCUUCGGAUUGUAAAGUUCUUUAAUUGGGACGAAAAAAAUAACGGUUCCCAAGGAAUAAGGCCCGGCUAACUAAGGGCCCGCAGCCGGGGUAAAAGGUAGGGGGGAAGCGUUGUUCGGAAUGACUGGGCGUAAAGGGUGUGUAGGCGGUGUGGCAAGUGAGAAGUGAAAUACCUAGAGCUUAAAUCAGGUGCUGCUUCUAAAACUGCUAUACUUGAGUGCAGUAGAGGAAAGUGGAAUUCCUAGUGUAGCGGUGGAAUGCGUAGAUAUUAGGAGGAACAUCAGUGGCGAAGGCGACUUUCUGGACUGUAACUGACGCUGAGGCACGAAAGUGUGGGGAGCAAACAGGAUUAGAUACCCCUGUAGUC